RNAcentral lists this ribosomal RNA (472 nucleotides) under uncultured bacterium. RNAcentral describes it as "partial 16S ribosomal RNA". It matches the Rfam family "Bacterial small subunit ribosomal RNA", at positions 30 to 507 of the family's 1533-position model. The record is from RNAcentral.
AGUGAACGCUGGCGGUAGGCCUAACACAUGCAAGUCGAACGGCAGCACAGUAAGAGCUUGCUCGUACGGGUGGCGAGUGGCGGACGGGUGAGGAAUACAUCGGAAUCUACUUUUUCGUUGGGGAUAACGUAGGGAAACUUACGCUAAUACCGCAUACGACCUACGGGUGAAAGCAGGGGAUCUUCGGACCUUGCGGGAUUGAAUGAGCCGGUGUCGGAUUAGCUAGUUGGCGGGGUAGUGGCCCACCAAGGCGACGAUCCGUAGCUGGUCUGAGAGGGUGACCGGCGACACAGGCACCGAGGGGCGGCACAGACGGGUAAGGGAGGCAGCAGUGGGGAAUCUUGCACCAUGGGCGCCGGCUGGGUGCAGCAACGCCGCGGGCUGGAAGACCGUUUUGGGGGGAAAAAAAGCUGGCGGGUGUGACCCCGCGUGUUUGACGGUAACCAAAAAAAAAGCACCGGCUAACUUCGUG